GGAGGACGACUUUCCCAUACGAUCUCUAAGACGAGUCAAGUAACUCCCGGAUACGUAGUGAUUGCCCCAUGCAUUAACAUUGAGUACAACUUAGACGCUGAAGGAAAGUAGAGUUCGUCAUCCCAUUGACCGCGGAUUCGUUAAACGAGCAUCCUUACCUCACUCUACGAUGGAACUCCUUUUUCGAGCAAGGGGACCAAUAAAAAUGAUGGAACGUGGCAGCGACCAUCGGUGCCAUCACGCUUCCUCGAGAUCCCUCUUCCUUGCACGCGUUUCCGGUCGUUUCAUCUCCGUCGUGAGUCAGACCUAGACUACGGGAAACACGUUUGUGUCGUUGUCGAAGCGGACGAAGAAAUAAUCUUGUUGGCGUUUGUAGGAGAUUACGCAAGAGCGCGGCUCUCUUGGUAGUUUUGUGCAAAAAAAACCGUCACAAAGCAUUCGUUGUCCUCGUUAUCUCGUUGUCAAGCACUUUCGAUCGCUUCUUUCUUUUUCGCACGAUCAACCUUGUACGUUUCUUACGUGGAACAACGCGAUUUACAUCGACCAACGCGCAAAGAAACGCGAUUCUGUUCGGAAGAAACGUUGUUCACCUUCGUACGUUCUCUGCGUGUUCAUUGGCAAAAGAAAGAAGAAAAACUAGUAACAUGGAAACCUCCUCGCUCUGGAAAAGUCUUUUCAUACGGACGGACGAGUUGCGAGCCACGGUUUCCUUUGCAAAGUCAUUUCCUUUGCAAACACUCGCGACGAGUACCGUACAAUGCGAUAAAAAGAAAUUUGACGUUGAGAAACAGGGUCAUGCGUCA
Molecule: unclassified non-coding RNA, 803 nt
Filed under: Bombus terrestris (buff-tailed bumblebee)
Lineage: Eukaryota; Metazoa; Arthropoda; Insecta; Hymenoptera; Apidae
Description: misc RNA ENSBTSG00005028236.1
Source: RNAcentral